GACGAACGCUGGCGGCGUGCUUAACACAUGCAAGUCGAACGAGAGCGUAGAGAAAGCUUGCUUUUUCUACAAUCUAGUGGCAAACGGGUGAGUAACGCGUAAACAACCUGCCCUACGGAUGGGGACAACAGCUGGAAACGGCUGCUAAUACCGAAUACGUUCCGAAAGUCGCAUGACUAUCGGAAGAAAGGAUGGCCUCUAUUUAUAAGCUAUCGCCGGAGGAGGAGUUUGCGUCUGAUUAGCUAGUUGGAGGGGUAACGGCCCACCAAGGCGACGAUCAGUAGCCGGUCUGAGAGGAUGAACGGCCACAUUGGAACUGAGACACGGUCCAGACUCCUACGGGAGGCAGCAGUGGGGAAUCUUCCGCAAUGGGCGAAAGCCUGACGGAGCAACGCCGCGUGAGUGAAGACGGCCUUCGGGUUGUAAAGCUCUGUUAUACGGGACGAAUAAUCUUGUGGUUAAUACCCAUGAGAAGUGACGGUACCGUAAGAGAAAGCCACGGCUAACUACGUG
This 513-nucleotide ribosomal RNA is filed under the name uncultured bacterium. RNAcentral's name for it is "partial 16S ribosomal RNA". It matches the Rfam family "Bacterial small subunit ribosomal RNA", at positions 28 to 507 of the family's 1533-position model. The record is from RNAcentral.